RNAcentral lists this transfer RNA (65 nucleotides) under Smaragdina reyi. RNAcentral's name for it is "tRNA-Asp". The record is from RNAcentral. Lineage: Eukaryota; Metazoa; Arthropoda; Insecta; Coleoptera; Chrysomelidae.
AAAAAUUUAGUUAAACCAUAACAUCAGUUUGUCAAGCUGAAAUUAUUCUCAAGUAAUAGUUUUUA